ACAACAUUUGGAAACAGAUGCUAAUACCGCAUAACAGCGUUGUUCGCAUGAACAACGCUUAACCCAUGGCUUCUCGCUAUCACUUCUGGAUGGACCUGCGGUGCAUUAGCUUGUUGGUGGGGUAACGGCCUACCAAGGCGAUGAUGCAUAGCCGAGUUGAGAGACUGAUCGGCCACAAUGGGACUGAGACACGGCCCAUACUCCUACGGGAGGCAGCAGUAGGGAAUCUUCCACAAUGGGCGCAAGCCUGAUGGAGCAACACCGCGUGAGUGAAGAAGGGUUUCGGCUCGUAAAGCUCUGUUGUUAAAGAAGAACACGUAUGAGAGUAACUGUUCAUACGUUGACGGUAUUUAACCAGAAAGUCACGGCUAACUACGUGCCAGCAGCCGCGGUAAUACGUAGGUGGCAAGCGUUAUCCGGAUUUAUUGGGCGUAAAAGAGAGUGCAGGCGGUUUUCUAAGUCUGAUGUGAAAGCCUUCGGCUUAACCGGGAGAAGUGCAUCGGAAACUGGAUAACUUGAGUGC
Molecule: ribosomal RNA, 523 nt
Filed under: uncultured bacterium
Lineage: Bacteria
Description: bacterial SSU rRNA
Rfam family: Bacterial small subunit ribosomal RNA
Source: RNAcentral